GACGAACGCUGGAGGCGUGCUUAACACAUGCAAGUCGAACGAUGAAAUGGAGCUUGCUCCAUGGAUUAGUGGCGAACGGGUGAGUAACACGUGAAUAACCUGCCCUUAAUUUUGGAAUAACCCAGGGAAACCUGGGCUAAUACCGGAUAAGUAAACCUGUGGCAUCACAUGGUUUUGGAAUGUUUUUCGAUUAAGGAUGGAUUCGCGGCCUAUCAGCUUGUUGGUGAGGUAAUGGCUCACCAAGGCGACGACGGGUAGCCGGCCUGAGAGGGGGAACGGCCACACUGGGACUGAGACACGGCGCAGACUCCUACGGGAGGCAACAGUGGGGAAUAUUGCGCAAUGGACGAAAGUCUGACGCAGCGACGCCUCGUGAGGGACGAAGGUCUUCGGAUUGUAAACCUCUUUCAGCAGGGACGAAGCGAAAGUGACGGUACCUGCAGAAGAAGCACCGGCUAACUAUGUGCCAGCAGCCGCAGUAA
Molecule: ribosomal RNA, 482 nt
Filed under: uncultured bacterium
Lineage: Bacteria
Description: partial 16S ribosomal RNA
Rfam family: Bacterial small subunit ribosomal RNA
Source: RNAcentral